RNAcentral lists this ribosomal RNA (429 nucleotides) under uncultured bacterium. Its description in RNAcentral is "bacterial SSU rRNA". It matches the Rfam family "Bacterial small subunit ribosomal RNA", at positions 355 to 776 of the family's 1533-position model. The record is from RNAcentral.
UAGGGAAUAUUGCGCAAUGGGCGAAAGCCUGACGCAGCGACACCGUGUGUAGGAUGAAGGUCUUAGGAUUGUAAACUACUGUCAGUUGAAGAAGAAGGUAUGAAGGUUAAGAGCCUGAUUAUUGACGGUAUUCAACGAGGAAGUCUCGGCUAACUCCGUGCCAGCAGCCGCGGUAAGACGGGGGAGGCAAGCAUUGUCCGGAAUUAUUGGGCGUAAAGAACACGUAGGCGGUUUUUCAAGUCAGUUGUGAAAACCUUGGGCUCAACCCGAGGACUGCAGCUGAUACUGGAUGACUAGAGUACAGUAGAGGAAAGUGGAAUUCCUGGUGUAGCGGUGAAAUGCGCAGAUAUCAGGAAGAACACCAGUGGCGAAAGCGGCUUUCUGGACUGUUACUGACGCUGAGGUGUGAAAGCUAGGGGAGCGAACAGG